UCAAGUAGUGGUGAAAAAGAGUGUGAAUGAAAGGAAUUGGGGGAUCCAGCUUCUUUUGCAGUCUUGAUUUAUUUUUAAUUGUCAAAUCUGUAAAUAAAAAGUACCCUAACUAACAUUCACAGCCCAUUCCAAACUCAGACCAGAGACGAAUUCAACCCAAAUUACAACUAAUGUGUUUUGUCUCCUCUCUCCUUAGUCGACAGCAAGUCGCCGUUGCAGCUGUCGCCAUUUCUGUUGCCACCAUUACCAUCCUUGUACCUCUCUCCUUAGUCGACAGCAAGUCGCUGUUGCAGCUGUCGCCGUUUCUGUUGCCACCAUUACCAUCCUUGUAUAGAGGUAUUUAACUCUCCUCUUAGCUCUUAUAUGUUAUUGAAUUAUUACUAAUUUAUUUGAAUCUGAAUUACUACUAAGUUAUUUGAAUCAGC
Molecule: long non-coding RNA, 425 nt
Filed under: Nicotiana benthamiana
Lineage: Eukaryota; Viridiplantae; Streptophyta; Magnoliopsida; Solanales; Solanaceae
Description: long non-coding RNA (NBEN_LNC039378)
Source: RNAcentral